This 751-nucleotide long non-coding RNA is filed under the name Cyanistes caeruleus (blue tit). Its description in RNAcentral is "lncRNA (ENSCCEG00000005376.1)". Lineage: Eukaryota; Metazoa; Chordata; Aves; Passeriformes; Paridae. The record is from RNAcentral.
CAGACCUUUGUUCACCUUCUAGCACUGGAAAUACUGCCUUGGGACUUCUAGAGCACUAGAAAUUCCUUAGAGACCUUUUCCAGUCCUCCAAAGUUGUUCAGAAAAUUCUCUGGAGAUCUGAGGAAAUUAACAAGAAAAGACCAUAAUUGUGAAUCUGGCUGCCCUGAAAGAGCAAUGAGAAGCCUGUCUUAUUGCAUUUGAUACCAUCUUAGAGCCACAGCAAACUACAGUAAGAAGAGAGGGCUGAACAGCCGCAGCAAGAGGCUGCAUUACUAGUGCUCAGAAAAUACCUCAAGGCAGAAAUAUCCAACUGUGUAACAGACAUUGGUUCUCUGUCUUCAUCGAAGAGCUUGGACCACAGACCAGGAAAUGGCACACAUUCUUUCUCUUCUCAGUGGUAUUAAGUCUGAGUACCCAGACCUGCCACUGUCUGCUGGAGGAAGGACCUUGCAGACCAGGGAGUUUCUACCACUCUGACUCUGCUCACACUGUUUGUAUGACAUGUAUGGGUGAUCCAAGAACUAUAAAACCUGCUGAACUGAUUGUCUGCAAAUGCUUACCACCUUCAUCAAAAUACUUCAAGAGGGAUACUGGUAAAUUCUCCAGUGCAGAAACAGCUGCAGUUGCAAAAACUUAUUUUGUAUUGGACACCAGAGAAUCAACAGUUAAGUUGUGGAAAAGAAGGAAAAAACGUUUUCUAAAAGUUAAGGACUUUUCAAAACUGACAUAUACACCAUAUUAAAAAUCGAAC